CCAAAAACAUAAUGUUUUGGUCCUAAACUUGCCGCUAUUUUUUUUUCUAAAUUUAUACAUGCAAGCAUCUACAUACUAGUGAAAAUGCCCAACAAAUAAAAGAGAACGGAGCCGGUAUCAGGCGCAAUAUAUUUAGCCAAUAACACCUUGCUUUGCCACGCCCCCACGGGUUUACAGCAGUAAUUAAUAUUAAACACUGAGCGAAAGCUCGAUUUAGUUAUAGAAGCAUACAGAGCCGGUAAAUUUCGUGCCAGCCACCGCGGUUAUACGAAAGGCUCAAAAUAACGGCCCCCGGCGUAAAGCGCGGUUAGAGAUAUAUAACUAAGGGAAAACAUCUUCUUAGCUGUAAAACGCCAAGGAAGACAAGAAUACAUUACCCUUAAUUAACUUCACACCACGAAAGCAGGGACACAAACUGGGAUUAGAUACCCCACUAUGCCCUGCCCUAAACUUAGAUAGCAAAAUACUACCUAUCCGCCAGAGAACUACAAGCAAAAUACUUAAAACUCAAAGGACUUGGCGGCAUUCCAUAUCAACCUAGAGGAGCCCGUCCAGUAAUCGAUAAUACGCGCUAAACCCUACCAUUUUUGGCCACUCCAGCCUAUAUACCGCCGUCGUCAGCUAACCUUGUGAAAGAAAAGAAGUAAGCACAAAAGCCCUCGCUAAAACGUCAGGUCAAGGUGUAGCUAAUAAAAUGGGUGUGAUAGGCUACAUUUUCUAUAAUAGAACACACGGAAAAUACAAUGAAACCUUGUAUUUGAAGGCGAAUUUAGAAGUAAACUAAGAAAGGAUCCUUAUUUUAACACAGCCCUGGAAUGCGCACACACCGCCCGUCACCCUCCUCAA
RNAcentral lists this non-coding RNA (846 nucleotides) under Namazonurus peersi. RNAcentral's name for it is "partial 12S ribosomal RNA". It matches the Rfam family "Bacterial small subunit ribosomal RNA". The record is from RNAcentral. Lineage: Eukaryota; Metazoa; Chordata; Lepidosauria; Squamata; Cordylidae.